UGCUUAUCAAGAGUGACUGAGGGAACAGGCCCUGCGACGUCCGGCAACCUCCUUAAAUGGAACGGUGCUAAAUCCUGCAGAAUGUCCUUCAUUCUGAAAGAUAAGUC
Molecule: non-coding RNA, 107 nt
Filed under: Metabacillus indicus
Lineage: Bacteria; Bacillati; Bacillota; Bacilli; Caryophanales; Bacillaceae
Description: Bacillus cibi SAM-I sequence
Rfam family: SAM riboswitch aptamer (S box leader)
About the family: The SAM riboswitch is found upstream of a number of genes which code for proteins involved in methionine or cysteine biosynthesis in Gram-positive bacteria.
Source: Rfam by way of RNAcentral